GGGGCUGUAGUUCAGGGGCAGAGCGCUUGCCUAGCAUGCAUGAGGCACUGAUUUCGAUCCUCAGCACCACA
This 71-nucleotide transfer RNA is filed under the name Marmota monax (woodchuck). RNAcentral's name for it is "tRNA.Ala". The record is from RNAcentral. Lineage: Eukaryota; Metazoa; Chordata; Mammalia; Rodentia; Sciuridae.